This 429-nucleotide ribosomal RNA is filed under the name Pseudomonadota bacterium. RNAcentral describes it as "Proteobacteria bacterium partial 16S ribosomal RNA". It matches the Rfam family "Bacterial small subunit ribosomal RNA", at positions 355 to 776 of the family's 1533-position model. The record is from RNAcentral. Lineage: Bacteria; Pseudomonadati; Pseudomonadota.
UGGGGAAUAUUGGACAAUGGGCGAAAGCCUGAUCCAGCCAUGCCGCGUGUGUGAAGAAGGUCUUCGGAUUGUAAAGCACUUUAAGUUGGGAGGAAGGGCAGUAAGCGAAUACCUUGCUGUUUUGACGUUACCGACAGAAUAAGCACCGGCUAACUCUGUGCCAGCAGCCGCGGUAAUACAGAGGGUGCAAGCGUUAAUCGGAAUUACUGGGCGUAAAGCGCGCGUAGGUGGUUCGUUAACUUGAAUGUGAAAGCCCCGGGCUCAACCUGGGAGCUGCAUCCAAAACUGGCGGGCUGGAGUAGGGCAGAGGGUGGUGGAAGUGCCUGUGUAGCGGUGAAAUGCGUAGAUAUAGGAAGGAACACCAGUGGCGAAGGCGACCACCUGGGCUCAUACUGACACAGAGGUGCGAAAGCGUGGGGAGCAAACAGG